RNAcentral lists this ribosomal RNA (439 nucleotides) under uncultured bacterium. RNAcentral's name for it is "partial 16S ribosomal RNA". It matches the Rfam family "Bacterial small subunit ribosomal RNA", at positions 339 to 795 of the family's 1533-position model. The record is from RNAcentral.
CUACGGGCGGCAGCAGUGGGGGAUAUUGCACAAUGGGGGAAACCCUGAUGCAGCAACGCCGCGUGAAGGAAGACGGAUUUCGGUCUGUAAACUUCUAUCAGCAGGGAUGAAAAUGACAGUACCUGACUAAGAAGCCCCGGCUAACUACGUGCCAGCAGCCGCGGUAAUACAUAGGGGGCAAGCGUUAUCCGGAUUUACUGGGUGUAAAGGGUACGUAGGCGGUUUGUUAAGUCAGAUGUGAAAGCCCGGAGCUCAACUCCGGGACUGCAUUUGAAACUGGCGAACUAGAGUACAGGAGAGGAAAGCGGAAUUCCUAGUGUAGCGGUGAAAUGCGUAGAUAUUAGGAAGAACACCAGUGGCGAAGGCGGCUUUCUGGACUGUAACUGACGCUGAGGUACGAAAGCGUGGGGAGCGAACAGGAUUAGAUACCCGCGUAGUC